GCGAGACUCCGUCUCAAAAAAAAAAAAAGAAACGCUGUUGGGGGCAGGAGCCUGGAUCUCAACCCCUGCAAGGUGGAAAUCUGGCUUCCUCUCACCCAUACGAGCCUGCCAGAGGCAGGAGGCUGACGCCCCGGAGGGACCAGCUGACAUCGGCCUUGAGGGACCAGACUUCUCCAGGCCGGCAACCUUCUCCCAGCUUUGUGAGGUGGAGCCCAACCUCCAGACCAAGAGAGGCCUUCCUGACCUUCAACCCCAUCUCCAGAGCUCCCCAGAGCUGGUCUAGCCCCUCAUCUGACACACAGAGAAACGGAGACCAGGAACCUGACGCUGGUUUCCCUAGCCCAUGUGAGGACCCUGUAGACCAGCUACAUGCACACCCAGUCCAGCCGCCGGACAGCGUUCAGUGGGAAGAGAGCAGACCAUCGUCCACCCACAUUCCAGACUCCAACUGGCAGAGGGGAGGGGACGUUGGGGCUGCAGGGCCACCAAUGUGGACGGGACAGAGCCCCAGGGACAGCCUGUGCUGGGGACGUAUGGGGGCAGGAUCAGACCCCACAGUGCCUGCGGGCCACAAGGCCAAGACAGGAUCUGGUAAGUGACGAUUUGGAGGCUGGUCCUGAGGUGCAAGAGGGAGUGCCAGGGACAGAGAGGGCACCGGGGUGACUACAGUCCCUCCAGACUCACAUCUACCCGCACCUGUGGGUGGGGCCUUAUUUGCAUACAGGGUCUUUGCACACGUGGUUGGUUACAAUGAGGAUGCUGGAGGGGGUGGUCUGUGUCCCUGUUAACAACUCAUGUCCUUAAGAGAAAAGAGGAACGUGGACACCCACACAUCGGGAGACGGCCGCAUGGAGACGGAGCAGAGGCUGGAGUGACGCGGCCGCAGACCAAGGGCGCCUGGAGCCCCGGAAGCUGGGAGGGGCAGGAAGGGUCCUCCCCUGGAGCUACUCCUUGACCUCAGCUUCCUGUGGCCUCCAGGACAGGGACAGGCUGCUCUAAGCCACCCAGUUUGCAGCACUGCUGCGGCCGCCACGAGAAGCUCGUCCAGGGAGGAGGCUGCUCCAGCCCUGAGCCCCACGCGACUCCCGGAAAGGUGUACUGGCCAGACUCAGCGCCCUGAGGACGGGGUCGGAACCCAGCGCCCAGGAAGCUCCCCUCCCCCCGACCAAGGACCUCCCUCCAGGGUGUGCCCGGAGGAGGUCAAGACUCCACUGCCCUGAAGCAAACAAGGCGUCCAGCCCGAGCCAGGGUCACACGCCCAACAGGUAGGAUCCAGCAACCCCUGCGCAGCAGCCCCCGCCAUGCGAGGGAGGACCCGGAGUUGAGCGUGGCCCUGCCUGACAUCUGACCCCGCCGUCAGGAGCUCCACCAGGUCAGGGCUGCUCAGCUGACCCCACAGCCCCACCAGGCAUGGUCAGCACGGUGCCGAAUGCAGGCCUGGAAAGGGAAUAAAGGAGGCCCUGGGGAGGGGCCUUGGUGCUUCAUCCCAAGCCAACCCCGAAAGUGGAAGCCACAGGGCCAGGGGGACGUCGUGGCUGAGAUGCGAGCAGGGUGCCGGGCACCCCCAAGGCAGCACUGCUGUCCCUGAGAACAGAAGGAAGUCCAGGCCCAGAGUCAGAGCCAAGUGGAGUAGUGGUGGUUGCUGGCACUCAGUCCCGUACCCUUGGACAGAGCAAGAGUCCCAAGCCAGGAAUGUGAGGCCGAUGCCUUUUAGGAAGAAACCACAUCUGGGGAACCAGACCCCAGAUCCCAGAACCCAGACCUCAGAUCCCAGAUCCCAGAUCUCAGACCCCAGAUCCCAGACUUCAGAUC
This 1812-nucleotide long non-coding RNA is filed under the name Homo sapiens (human). Its description in RNAcentral is "HSALNT0395554". The record is from RNAcentral. Lineage: Eukaryota; Metazoa; Chordata; Mammalia; Primates; Hominidae.